This 211-nucleotide long non-coding RNA is filed under the name Manihot esculenta (cassava). RNAcentral describes it as "long non-coding RNA (MESC_LNC001519)". The record is from RNAcentral. Lineage: Eukaryota; Viridiplantae; Streptophyta; Magnoliopsida; Malpighiales; Euphorbiaceae.
CGGAGUCUAGCCGGGUAUUACAUUCUCCCCCCCUUAAGAACAUUCGUCCCCGAAUGUUCCUCAACUAACACAUGCAUAGCAAACAACAUAACAUACACACAUAAACACAUAGAGACUAACCUUAAAAGAGAUGAGGAUAUUGCCGGAGCAUAGACUCCCGUGUCUCCCAAGUGCACUCUUCCAGAUUGUGUUGGUUCCACAGGACUUUCAC